CGCAUUGAUCAUGCUCGAUUUACCAGCGCCAGUUCUCCCAACUAUCCCCACCUUCUGGUGCGGAUGGAUGGUGAACGAGAGCCCCUUGAGGACCGGGGGAAGCCCGGGCCUAUACCGGAGGAACACAUCUUCGAACCUCACCAAUCCAGAGGCCGGCCAUCCGGGUGGAGGCCGGCUUCCUUCAACCACAUCCGGAGCCUCGGAUGGCAAGUCUAUGUACGUUCCAACGCGCUCCACCGAGUUCAAGCUGUUCUCUGCUCUGCUUGCUUGUCUCAAGACAUUGCUGAGCAAAUUGGUGAU
RNAcentral lists this long non-coding RNA (300 nucleotides) under Salvia miltiorrhiza (redroot sage). Its description in RNAcentral is "long non-coding RNA (SMIL_LNC005261)". The record is from RNAcentral. Lineage: Eukaryota; Viridiplantae; Streptophyta; Magnoliopsida; Lamiales; Lamiaceae.